Molecule: signal recognition particle RNA, 237 nt
Filed under: bovine gut metagenome
Description: Bacterial large signal recognition particle RNA
Rfam family: Bacterial large signal recognition particle RNA
About the family: The signal recognition particle (SRP) is a universally conserved ribonucleoprotein involved in the co-translational targeting of proteins to membranes. Archaeal SRP consists of a 7S RNA and homologues of the eukaryotic SRP19 and SRP54 proteins.
Source: RNAcentral
CAUGCUAGCCGGGGAGAUAGCGGUGCCCUGAACCUGCAAUCCGCUACAGCAGGGGCGAAUGCGUGCUUGAGGCACGCGGCUGUGCGGUCUGUGUCGUAUGCUUUUUGUGAUGAAGGAUGGGUCCUGCGCAAUUCGAUGCCAUGAACCAUGUCAGGCUGGGGACAGAGCAGCAUUAAGUGGAUUUUCGGAUGUGCCGCAGGCGUGCCUGUCCGGAGCAGAAACUGCGGUAACGCGUAU